Molecule: ribosomal RNA, 253 nt
Filed under: uncultured bacterium
Lineage: Bacteria
Description: partial 16S ribosomal RNA
Rfam family: Bacterial small subunit ribosomal RNA
Source: RNAcentral
UACGUAGGGUGCGAGCGUUAAUCGGAAUUACUGGGCGUAAAGCGUGCGCAGGCGGUUUUGUAAGCCAGAUGUGAAAGCCCCGGGCUUAACCUGGGAAUGGCAUUUGGGACUGCAAGGCUUGAGUGCGGCAGAGGAGACUGGAAUUCCUGGUGUAGCAGUGAAAUGCGUAGAUAUCGGGAGGAACAUCCGUGGCGAAGGCGACUACCUGGACCAGCACUGACACUGAGGCACGAAAGCGUGGGGAGCAAACAGG